UCUGGGAUUAGAUACCCUGUUAUUUAAAAUGUAUUUAAAAAUUAAGGUAGUAUUAGUUAUGUUCUUUAAACUUAAAAAAUUUGGCGGUAUUUUAGUCUGUUCAGAGGAACCUGUUCUAUAAUCGAUAAUCCACGAUGGACCUAACUUAAUUUUGUAAUCAGUUUAUAUACCGUUGUUAUUAGAAUAUUUUAUAAGAAAGUUAAUUUUCGUAAUUUUAUAAUUUAAAAUUAUAUCAGAUCAAGGUGUAGCUUAUAUUUAAGUAGAAAUGGGUUACAAUAAAAUUAUUUAUAUGAAUAUAAAUUUGCAAUAUUUAUUGAAGGUGGAUUUGAUAGUAAAAUUAUAAAGAUAAAUAAUUUGAUUUUAGCUCUAAAAUAUGUACAAAUCGCCCGUCACUCUCUGA
RNAcentral lists this ribosomal RNA (400 nucleotides) under Morinia aff. doronici 2 AT-2015. RNAcentral's name for it is "partial small subunit ribosomal RNA". The record is from RNAcentral. Lineage: Eukaryota; Metazoa; Arthropoda; Insecta; Diptera; Polleniidae.